Non-coding RNA from Vicia faba (fava bean), 321 nucleotides. NCBI's taxonomy places the organism in Eukaryota, Viridiplantae, Streptophyta, Magnoliopsida, Fabales, Fabaceae. The record is from the annotation of a GenBank genome assembly.
AUGGAAGGGUACGGGUACGGGUCGGAUCACGGUCCAUACGGAAGUGAUAGAAGAGUCGAGAUUGUGAGCGGGAAAAGCUAUGGUUUCAGUCAGAGCUACUACGCGAGUCGGAGUGAGUUAUCUGGCGAGAUGACUCAGGCGAGUCACGGCGGAGCGGCAGCGGUGGCGAAGCCUUGGAGCUUUGGAGACGCGAAAACGAAGAGGAGAAAGAGAAUAGCGAGGUAUAAGGUUUAUGCGGUGGAGGGUAAGGUUAAGGCGACGCUCCGGGAUGGGAUCCGAUGGAUUAAGCAUACGUGUUCUCGGAUUGUCCAUGGGUAUUGA